This 460-nucleotide ribosomal RNA is filed under the name uncultured bacterium. RNAcentral describes it as "partial 16S ribosomal RNA". It matches the Rfam family "Bacterial small subunit ribosomal RNA", at positions 338 to 795 of the family's 1533-position model. The record is from RNAcentral.
CCUACGGGUGGUUGCAGUGAGGAAUAUUGGUCAAUGGGCGAGAGCCUGAACCAGCCAAGUCGCGUGAGGGAAGACGGUCCUAUGGAUUGUAAACCUCUUUUGUCGGGGAGCAAAAAGGCCUCGUGAGGCCACAAGUGAGAGUACCCGAAGAAAAAGCAUCGGCUAACUCCGUGCCAGCAGCCGCGGUAAUACGGAGGAUGCGAGCUUUAUCCGGAUUUAUUGGGUUUAAAGGGUGCGUAGGCGGAUUUUUAAGUCAGCGGUAAAAUGUCCGGGCUCAACCCGGGCCGGCCGUUGAAACUGGGGAUCUUGAGUGGGCGAGAAGUAUGCGGAAGGCGUGGUGUAGCGGUGAAAUGCAUAGAUAUCACGCAGAACGCCGAUUGCGAAGGCAGCAUACCGGCGCCCGACUGACGCUGAGGCACGAAAGCGUGGGGAUCGAACAGGAUUAGAUACCCCAGUAGUC